Molecule: long non-coding RNA, 856 nt
Organism: Scylla paramamosain (green mud crab)
Lineage: Eukaryota; Metazoa; Arthropoda; Malacostraca; Decapoda; Portunidae
Exons: 3
Source: RefSeq, a predicted model, not a curated record
AAUCCACAACAGUGCUGAAAUCCUUGACAGUGUACUCCCGCCUCAUCUCUCCCAGCACCCCAUCGCUGCCAGACUGGACCGGCACGUGCAGGAAGGCGUACACUCUUGGGUGCUUCAUGAUCUCGGCAAUGUCCUGCAGAGAUGGUCAAGAAUGUAGGGAGGGUUGGUCAUCCCAAGCCUGAGUCUGCAUCCCUCAGGUAUCACCUCCACCAGGCGCCACAACAGCUGUGGCAGGGUGACGCCGAUGUCCCUCCCGUAGGCCCCCGUGUCCUCUGACGUCAGCCACACCUCACACACACCCUCACUGAAGGACUGCCUAGCGCGCUCCACCACCUCCUCUGUUGUGGUGAAGUGAUGCAUUGUUAUAAUGACUUGCCCACCUUUCAAUGUCUCCUCCACCACCUCCACAACUCUGUCAAUCUGCUGCACCCCAAUGACACUGAGGCCCUCUAGAAACUCUGAGCGAGGGGCACCUGCCAAAGAAGUACACCUUUUCAUAAAUUUGCCAUUACUUGAAUUAAAAGAAACUUAAGAGAAGCACCCUGGCACCAACCCACAGCUCUCACUACUUUGCCCAACAUUACUAUGAUACAAGAAGUACAGGUAUAUUACUUUCCUCAGCUUAAAUUAACUGCACUCCUUAUUUGCCCUAUUUAUAAAUCUGCCAAUACUUAAUUCAAAAGAAACUUAAGCACUUUUUGAACCAUGUCCAAGUCACUGCUGUGCCUGAAAUCACCACAGCAGUACAUCUUCCCCUUGGUAAUGCCUCUCAAUGUCCACAGAGCUUUAGCGUCUUAACAUAUAAAGAAGCACCACUGCCUUAGUCCUCCUGAUGUCUGCCAGUGGGCUCCCUACC